Molecule: ribosomal RNA, 548 nt
Filed under: uncultured Glomeromycotina
Lineage: Eukaryota; Fungi; Glomeromycota
Description: SSU rRNA
Rfam family: Eukaryotic small subunit ribosomal RNA
Source: RNAcentral
UUGGAGGGCAAGUCUGGUGCCAGCAGCCGCGGUAAUUCCAGCUCCAAUAGCGUAUAUUAAAGUUGUUGCAGUUAAAAAGCUCGUAGUUGAAUUUCGAGAUCGGCUUACUGGUCGUGCUUUUGUACGUACUGGUAUAAUCGGUUUCUCCUUUCUGACGAACUUUAAUGCCAUUAAUUUGGUGUUUUAGGGAAUCAGGACUGUUACUUUGAAAAAAUUAGAGUGUUUAAAGCAGGCUCACGCUUGAAUACAUUAGCAUGGAAUAACGGAAUAGGACGUUUGAUUCUAUUUUGUUGGUUUCUAGGAUCGACGUAAUGAUUAAUAGGGAUAGUUGGGGGCAUUAGUAUUCAAUUGUCAGAGGUGAAAUUCUUGGAUUUAUUGAAGACUAACUACUGCGAAAGCAUUUGCCAAGGAUGUUUUCAUUAAUCAAGAACGAAAGUUAGGGGAUCGAAGACGAUCAGAUACCGUCGUAGUCUUAACCAUAAACUAUGCCGACUAGGGAUCGGAUAAUGUUAAUUUUUUAAUGACUCAUUCGGCGCCUUACGGGAAAC